GGGGGAAUAUUGGACAAUGGGCGCAAGCCUGAUCCAGCCAUGCCGCGUGUGUGAAGAAGGCCUUCGGGUUGUAAAGCACUUUCNGUGGGGAGGAAGGGGAUUNGNUUAAUACCNGGGNGNNUUGACGUUACCCACAGAAUAAGCACCGGCUAACUNCGUGCCAGCAGCCGCGGUAAUACGGAGGGUGCAAGCGUUAAUCGGAAUUACUGGGCGUAAAGCGCGCGUAGGCGGUUNGUUAAGUCGGAUGUGAAAUCCCCGGGCUCAACCUGGGAACUGCAUUCGAAACUGGC
This 290-nucleotide ribosomal RNA is filed under the name gamma proteobacterium SCGC AAA031-J10. RNAcentral describes it as "partial 16S small subunit ribosomal RNA". It matches the Rfam family "Bacterial small subunit ribosomal RNA", at positions 355 to 637 of the family's 1533-position model. Lineage: Bacteria; Pseudomonadati; Pseudomonadota; Gammaproteobacteria. The record is from RNAcentral.